Molecule: non-coding RNA, 24 nt
Filed under: Cricetulus griseus (Chinese hamster)
Lineage: Eukaryota; Metazoa; Chordata; Mammalia; Rodentia; Cricetidae
Source: RNAcentral
ACGGGACUCAGCAGUGAUAAAAAU